GGGCCUCUAGCUCAGUGGUUAGAGCAUCCGGCUCAUAACCGGCAGGUCCCGGGUUCAAAUCCCUGGAGGCCCACCA
This 76-nucleotide transfer RNA is filed under the name Bacillota bacterium. Its description in RNAcentral is "tRNA-Ile". It matches the Rfam family "tRNA". Rfam says of the family: Transfer RNA (tRNA) molecules are approximately 80 nucleotides in length. Their secondary structure includes four short double-helical elements and three loops (D, anti-codon, and T loops). Further hydrogen bonds mediate the characteristic L-shaped molecular structure. tRNAs have two regions of fundamental functional importance: the anti-codon, which is responsible for specific mRNA codon recognition, and the 3' end, to which the tRNAs corresponding amino acid is attached (by aminoacyl-tRNA synthetases). tRNAs cope with the degeneracy of the genetic code in two manners: having more than one tRNA (with a specific anti-codon) for a particular amino acid; and 'wobble' base-pairing, i.e. permitting non-standard base-pairing at the 3rd anti-codon position. RNAcentral also lists the same sequence under 3 other names. The record is from RNAcentral. Lineage: Bacteria; Bacillati; Bacillota.